Long non-coding RNA from Cyclopterus lumpus (lumpfish), 713 nucleotides. RefSeq lists it as uncharacterized. The record is from RefSeq and is a predicted model, not a curated record. NCBI's taxonomy places the organism in Eukaryota, Metazoa, Chordata, Actinopteri, Perciformes, Cyclopteridae. The transcript is spliced from 2 exons.
CAGGAAGCUGUCAUCCGCUGUUUGCGUCUGCUGACAAGAAAUCAAGGAGACUGACGGUUAUUAUCGAUGGCCGUGACACAAGAAGCAACAUCCAGGGUCUCCUUGACGACAGAGCGGAUGAGAAGGACGGAGGACCAGAUGAGAAGGACGGAGGACCACAGGACCAGAUGAGAAGGACGGAGGACCAGAUGAGAAGGACGGAGGACCACAGGACUAGAUGAGAAGGACUGAGGACCAGAUGAGAAGGACGGAGGACCACAGGACCAGAUGGAGAGCGACGGUCGCCUUUCUUUCAGUGGGCUGACGCAGGACUCCUCUGGGCUUUUGUCUCUCUCUUGGGGGAGCUGAGGGUGGACGUCAACCAACCCGUUAACCCAGGACGACCCACACUCACAGCCGACCUCUGAACCCCUCACAGCACCCCAGAGAGUCCGAGACCCAGUGAUUAAGGUCCUCCCUGCCCCUCCACCCCGACACCACCAGUCCCACCCGCCAGCCAAGAGGACGAGGAGGGUCCCGUCCCCACCAGCACAGAGGACGUAGUUUGUAAACCAUCUACUGACAAGAAAUCAAGGAGACUGACGGUUCAGGCUGGACGAGAAAUAAUUCUUCUAAAAGCUUUAAUGUAUUUUAUUUGUCACAUAAAUUACAGAAUGUUCAUGUACACUGUCUGUACAGUAUUUAUACAAAAUAAAGAAAUGUAUUGAAAAUAA